GACGAACGUUGGCGGCGUGCUUAAUACAUGCAAGUCAACUGAAGCAGUGGUAGCAAUAUCGCUGUGGAGGUGGCGCACGGGUGAGUAACACGUAGGUAAUCUGCCUUCAGGUCUGGCAUAACUCCGGGAAACCGGGGCUAAUAGCAGAUGAUGCAGCGGCUCGACAUCGAGACAGUUGUUAAAGCUAUGGCGCCUGAAGAUGAGCCUGCGUCUGAUUAGCUAGUUGGCGGGGUAACGGCCCACCAAGGCAACGAUCAGUAGCUGGACUGAGAGGAUGAUCAGCCACACUGGAACUGAGACACGGUCCAGACUCCUACGGGAGGCAGCAGUAAGGAAUAUUGCUCAAUGGGAGAAAUCCUGAAGCAGCAACGCCGCGUGAGGGACGAAGGGCUUUUGCUUGUAAACCUCUGUAGUGAGAGAAAAAAUCCCAAUCUUUGGGACAUGAUGGUAUCUCAAAAGUAAGCCCCGGCUAACUACGUG
Molecule: ribosomal RNA, 480 nt
Filed under: uncultured bacterium
Lineage: Bacteria
Description: partial 16S ribosomal RNA
Rfam family: Bacterial small subunit ribosomal RNA
Source: RNAcentral